AGAAGCACUGAAUAAGAAGUCUGCUCUUUGUGCUGGGGUCGCCGGGUUGGGUGCAAGCCAGGAUCUAUGGGCAUCAAGAGGAUGGCUGGCUGAAGAGUUGGAAAGCAAGGAAGCAAGUCCUGGUGACACUGUUUGGUGUCCUGGAUCUGGCUGUACCUGCAACCCUGAACUUUACAGUCACCUGAGCCAACAGAUUUCCUACUUUGCUUAAGCCUGUUUGAGAUGAGGAAACUCAGGAGCCCGAGGGAAUUGCACAAAGUCACCCGACUAAAUGACAGAAAUGCCUCUGCAAAGGUUUUCAGGAUUUAUGACACACAGGACAGAGGUGGAUCGAUAUUUUAUUUAUCUGUUGGUUUGUUGGUUUGUUUAUUUAUUUGUCUAUUGGCUAAUACCUGGUCUUUGGGCUUUUUUAAAUUAUUAUUUUAAUUACAUAAAGAGCUUACA
Leopardus geoffroyi (Geoffroy's cat) is the source of this 444-nucleotide long non-coding RNA. RefSeq lists it as uncharacterized. The transcript has 2 exons. NCBI's taxonomy places the organism in Eukaryota, Metazoa, Chordata, Mammalia, Carnivora, Felidae. The record is from RefSeq and is a predicted model, not a curated record.